AGUUGGUCAGGAAGCGGGGCUGGGCUGUAAAACCUCAGGCCCACCCUCAGUGAUUCACUCCCUCCAGUGAGGCUCCACCUCCUAAAGGUUCCACCAUCUUUUAUAAUAGCACCGCUAUGUGAGGUCAAGCACUGAAACACAUGAACUUACGAGGUUACACUUUACAUUCAAACCAUCACAGCUACCUUAUGAAUUCCAGCGCCGAGUCACACCAAAACUCCCAGUGAAGUUACCCAGUGUCUUGGUUUGGGUGAAGUUCCCACUGCUAGAGCAAUGCCAUCAUAUUUGACUGGGCACAUAUCAUCCUGUAAGAAUUAUAUGGAGCGGAGCUGAAUCAGACUGGUCCUAGUGGUCAUAUUCAAACAAACUAAUGAAGUGCCAUCCAGGCCAUUGACCAACAUUCUAAUUCUUCUAAUGGCGAGAAAUGGUUGAUUGCCAUUGCUGCCUUGGAGUUAGCUGAACCAUAAGAUGUUCUUUCACCAGCACACUGUCGAAAACACCAUCAGAUGACUGGAUCCUUUGUUAUAUGUACAAUGAGAAUGCACUCUGCUUCUGCAAUCCUGAUGUGUAAUUGUGGCACAUAUGUGAUGGAGGAAAUAUGACAGUUUCACAGAAUGUUCUUCUUCUGGACAUGGCCUCUGGUGAGCAACAUGUGGAGUCCGAAGUUCCAGUGCUCCAGAAGAGGAACAAGAACAAUGGACACCAGAAGGACACAGGUGGGCUGAUGAUAAAGGAAAUGACCAAUAAGUCAGUAUUCCUCACACUCUGCUUAAAAGAUAAGCACUUUCAAGUUGAUAGACUUAGUCGUUGCCUUUCCAAAUAUAUA
Long non-coding RNA from Mesocricetus auratus (golden hamster), 826 nucleotides. RefSeq lists it as uncharacterized. The transcript is spliced from 4 exons. The record is from RefSeq and is a predicted model, not a curated record. NCBI's taxonomy places the organism in Eukaryota, Metazoa, Chordata, Mammalia, Rodentia, Cricetidae.